This 72-nucleotide transfer RNA is filed under the name Bos taurus (domestic cattle). It matches the Rfam family "tRNA". Rfam says of the family: Transfer RNA (tRNA) molecules are approximately 80 nucleotides in length. Their secondary structure includes four short double-helical elements and three loops (D, anti-codon, and T loops). Further hydrogen bonds mediate the characteristic L-shaped molecular structure. tRNAs have two regions of fundamental functional importance: the anti-codon, which is responsible for specific mRNA codon recognition, and the 3' end, to which the tRNAs corresponding amino acid is attached (by aminoacyl-tRNA synthetases). tRNAs cope with the degeneracy of the genetic code in two manners: having more than one tRNA (with a specific anti-codon) for a particular amino acid; and 'wobble' base-pairing, i.e. permitting non-standard base-pairing at the 3rd anti-codon position. Lineage: Eukaryota; Metazoa; Chordata; Mammalia; Artiodactyla; Bovidae. The record is from Rfam by way of RNAcentral. RNAcentral also lists the same sequence under 5 other names.
UCCCUGAUGGUCUAGUGGUUAGGACUCAGCAAUCUCACUGCUGCAGCCUGGGUUUGAUCCCUGGAUGAGGAA